This 253-nucleotide ribosomal RNA is filed under the name uncultured bacterium. RNAcentral's name for it is "partial 16S ribosomal RNA". It matches the Rfam family "Bacterial small subunit ribosomal RNA", at positions 524 to 776 of the family's 1533-position model. The record is from RNAcentral.
UACAGAGGGUGCAAGCGUUGUUCGGAAUUACUGGGCGUAAAGCGCGUGUAGGUGGCAUGGUAAGUCUCGUGUGAAAGCCCUGGGCUCAACCCAGGAAGUGCGCGAGAUACUGCCGUGCUGGAGUGAUGGAGAGGAUGGCGGAAUUCCCGGUGUAGAGGUGAAAUUCGUAGAUAUCGGGAGGAACACCUGUGGCGAAGGCGGCCAUCUGGACAUUUACUGACACUGAGGCGCGAAAGCCAGGGGAGCAAACGGG